UGGCGAUGCGUCUUAAGCAUGCAAGUCGAGCGGGCUUAUUAAGGCAAAAGGAUAAGUUAGCGGCGAACUGGUGAGUAACACGUAGGUAAUCUGCCGUGAAGUGGGGGAUAACCCAUGGAAACAUGGACUAAUACCGCAUAUACUCUUGCUACAUAAGUAGAGUAGAGGAAAGUUUUUUCGCUUCACGAUGAGCCUGCGGCCUAUUAGCCUGUUGGUAGGGUAAUGGCCUACCAAAGCUACGAUAGGUAGCCGACCUGAGAGGGUGACCGGCCACAUUGGGACUGAGAUACGGCCCAGACUCCUACGGGAGGCAGCAGCUGAGAAUCUUCCACAAUGGACGAAAGUCUGAUGGAGCGACAUCGCGUGAGGGAUGAAGGCCUUCGGGUUGUAAACCUCGGAAAUUAUCGAAGAAUGAGUGACAGUAGAUAAUGUA
Molecule: ribosomal RNA, 433 nt
Filed under: Brachyspira pilosicoli
Lineage: Bacteria; Pseudomonadati; Spirochaetota; Spirochaetia; Brachyspirales; Brachyspiraceae
Description: bacterial SSU rRNA
Rfam family: Bacterial small subunit ribosomal RNA
Source: RNAcentral